This is an RNA transcript of Cercocebus atys (sooty mangabey), 8337 nucleotides long. It is a transcript of the gene named UDP-GlcNAc:betaGal beta-1,3-N-acetylglucosaminyltransferase 2, with no coding region annotated. The record is from RefSeq and is a predicted model, not a curated record. The transcript has 12 exons. Lineage: Eukaryota; Metazoa; Chordata; Mammalia; Primates; Cercopithecidae.
GUGCUGGGAUUACAGGCAUGAGCCACCGCGCCCAGCAGAGUUUGCAUUUCUAACAUGCUCUCCGGGUACUUUUUUUGCCUGCUGAAGUGGAGAACCUCUGGGUUCUGACGGUGAAUUGUCAGAGGUCUUCACAGACUCGAGUCCACAGAGGCCUUCAGGUGCCAACGCAGGGGCCUCAUGGCUGGGCUUCCUGGGUCCCCACCCUGGGUCAGUGCAGGCCUCAACCAGAGCAACUCCCCUGGGGUUUUAAGAAAACAAAUGUUCCCCUUCUCACUCAUUAGACAUUAGAAACUUCUGGGCUGGGGUCAGGGCCACUUUUGUAAUUUGUGGGGUCCAGUGCAAAAUGAAAAUGCAGGGCCCUUAUUCAAAACACGGGAGGAAAGCUUUUUUCCUUUCUUCUGUGGCCUCCCAUGUCACAGUGGGACAUGGGAUUUAAUUUGUGAUUUAAUAUCAUGCACCCUUCAGGCAUGGGGAUACAGACAAGGUGAGUACAGACCCUCACCAGCUUCCGGACCUUCCUGAGGAAGCUGCAGUUUACAGAGAAACCUCUGAGUUCUUUUUGGAGCAAAACUGACUGCAGUAGGGAGAAAGCCGCGCAGCUGGCAACAAGCAGGUACUUAGGGUGAUUAACGAAUGCAUUUGAAAAUUCCCUCCUGCUUCAGCCUCAGCCUGCACCUGAGCUCUGGUCUGCAGCAGUACAUUUCCGGAUAAUCUCUUUUGACAACUGAGAGGGCAGCCAACCCACAAGACUAACCCAAUUACAGCGAAAGAGAGAUCUGGCUGCUCCCUGUUGACAAGAAAAACCACCUACAAGGACUCCUCAAACUCUCAAUAAACGUAGACUGUUCUCAUAGGACUCAGACUCUCUUGGACAGAAAUCUUUGUCCCCGUGAAAUGCUGCCAUGUCGUCCUGAGAGACAAGAUGGGUGAGUUCUCUAUCGUGAUGAUGUGAAGUUGGUUUCCUCGGAACAUCUGGUACAACUGGGCCAUCUGAGCUGGCCCCCAAAGCCGCGUUGUUAUUUAUGCCCGUGGCUUUAGGGCCCCAGGAAUCAAUGACUGUGAGGCAAACCCUGACAAGAUCAUGUUUCAGCGCGUCUCCCCUGUGGUAGAAAGAACAUGACCCCAUGUUCUUUCCAUGCCUGUUGAAACAAGAGAGUACACGUUUCUGCCACCCAGGCUCUGGCUGUGCAUGUGGUCUUGCUAGCUAAGAACUAUGCUUGAUGUGGAGAUAAAGCACUGCAGGGGGAAGUAUUGUGUCUUCUGGGAUCCUAGAGUGGAUUCCAGGGAAAAGAUCAUGAAGUCCUGUAUUACAAAAUCUCGCGUUCCAUUUCAAAGAGUCUCCUCCAAACCUACUGUUAAAAGUAUCACUGGUCCAAAAACCCAAAUGGAGAAGAGAUUUGGGAUCUCAGGAACUUCGGUGCCCCAUGUGGUUUAGCCAGUCUCUCAUGUUAUUUAGCAAGCCCACAGCAGGCAGCAUCCUGGCCACCAAGUUGCCAGAAACAAGUGAGAUAGAUUUUUGAAAAUAGCGUCUUCCUCAACCUCUGUAGAAACAUCAGUCUUUGAUACAAGGUGGUCAGAAAACCCAGAAAAAAGUACUUUUGCCUGGGCCUUAGGCAGCAGAGAGGUCCCUUCCAGCAUUGCAAGUUCCAUAACAAGCUCCAUGGUGACCCAAACUGGCAGCUUGGUCCUCACUUGUAGAAUGGGGAAGGCCGGGGAACACUUCAGAAGAUGGGCCAGCCUCUGUGGACUCACCAGGCAUGAUGACAAGUAUCCAUAAUUCUAAUUCUAAUUCUAAUUCUAAUUCUAAUUCAAUUAACCACUCAGAUUUGGGCUUAUGGGAAAGAAUGACAUCUUGGGAAAGGGAGCUGCUUUCUCUCAGCCCCUCUCAGGGAGUGGAAAACUUUCCGGAGUGUACAAGCAGCUUCCUAUACAGAUGAGCAUCUUGCCUGAUGACACACCAUGUUUCCCAUGGGGAGAGCCUGGGGCAGGCUUGGCCACUGAGGCCUGAUUGUCUCUGGAAGGCAGGCCAGAUUCUAUUUCUGUUACCACACAGCUUUCUCCUAUCUCCAGUUCUGCUCUUGCUAUGUUCCAAGCUGAGUGCUCUCUGACUGACUUGGCUUUGGUGAAUUCCUACAGACAUCCCAAAUUCUACCAUCAAGGGGCUUGCUUACUCAAGAGCCAAGCUCAUCUCCAGUGAGGCAAGAGUUACCUUGGCGGAUGCAUCUCUGGGUGGCAAAGCGUUAAUACCUCUUGCUCUCUCCCAAGGCCUUUGAGUGGCUACCUCUGAGGUGAAGUCAUAUCUUCUCCCUUGGAUGGCCUUAUCCUCAGCCCUCCCUGAGCCAGGACAGACAGCUGGCCUGCCCCGUGGUGUGAUCUCAGAGGGUGUCUCCUCAAAGCAACAUGAGAAUUUUACAGGAAGAGACUCAACACACACUUCUUGGAGUCCAAAUGGGCUGGCCACAGAAUCGCUGGAGAACCUGGCCAGUGUGAUGCUGACAAUGGCCCCUCAACAAGCUCCUGUAGCCACAACUGCCCUCCAAUAUGUUUCCUAACCUACACUGGUGUUCCCACCCUCUGCCUACCACCACAGAGAACCCGGAACACUAGAGGGGACCAUGGGAAUGUCUACAAUAGCUUCAUGGUUGCUGUCAGGACAUCUGAAGGCAACUGUGAACCUAUUUGAGACUAGAGGGGAGGUAGAACCCUCCCUCAGCUCUUUAAGUCCAGCCAUUCCCCAGGGCUUGUUCAGUCAAGGAGAGAGAGAGGCUGCCAGCAGCCUCUCUCCUUGGGAGCUGCGAUCCAAGCUUUCUGCAGACUGACAUGGAGUGCCUUCUGCAGAGCUCAGUGGCUUCUCUGGCUCCCUCCUGAAGCCAGGGUGAAACGGAGCUGGCAUCUAGAAGUCUGGUGAGUACUUCCUGGCCUGGGCCCAAGGAAGCUGUUCCUAGUGGGACAAUAGCUGGUCCUCACGACUUGAGGUCGAGUGGGAAACUGUUCCCAGCUACUUCAUACAGCAAAGGCAGCACAGAAGGAGCAGCCUCCUUGAAGGAGGAAAACUGGGUGAUGCACUGCAUCCCUUUGCUCUUGGGUUAAUUCCUGGGUUCUGGCUUUCUCACAUUCUGGGACCCUACCCUGGAUGUGAAGCUCCUUCAGGGCCAAAGACAUGUGCUACCGCAUGUGGCUGCUGCAUAGGUCGUGGAACUGUAAACUGGCUGGGCAGUGACCUCCUCUGGGGAGUCCCUUGAAGAGCAUACUGACAUGGCCACUCACCCUCCAAAGGGGCUGCUCUAAAGGAAGCUAAGAUCUGGAAAUCCACCCAUUCCCUGGAACAGGUAUGGAAAGACUUCACCUGGGAUCUGCCAGGUUCUCUUCCUAGCUUUCCAGAGAACCUCCCUGGGAAAAGGACCCAUGCUGUGGGGGCUCCUGCUGUUCUUCCCAUCUGUCCCCUGGGAAGAGGGUGAAUCCUCUCUGGAGACUUUGACACUCCAGAACUACACUGCACUGUCUGUUUGGAAGAUAUAAAGGAAGACAGCGAGAGAGAGGAGGCAACUUGGUGGUUUCUGAGAACACAGUCAUCAAGGUUGUAAAAUGGCAUCAUUAUUGUUAGUCCUCACACUGUCUACUAGCUAUUUAAAUGAGAACAGAAGUUAGAAAUUCAGUUUCUCAGUUGCACUAGCCACAUUUCAUGUUCUCAAUAGCCACGUGUCUAGUGGCUACUGUGUUGAGCAGGGCAGAUUAGAGUAACUUCCAUCAUUUAUAUACACGGCAUGACCAUAUUUAAAUAAAACUGUAGUUACGAAAAACAGGCAGCAGCUGGAUUUGUUUCAUGAGCUGUAGUUUGCAGAUCCCAGCUCUAGGCCUAAACUGUCAUGCUUUCCUUUGAAGAGGGCUUGUUUUUGCUUGUAGUUUGGUGAGUACCAAACUAGAAGCACACCAGCCCUCCAGGGCUCUCCUCAGGGCAAGAGUCCCAGAUUUGUGUCCUCAUUUUCCUGCCAUCCCAGGGCUUAGUGUCUGGAAGUACCCUCAGGGCAAUGUGGCUCUUAGCAAGUUCUUGCUGUUCUAAUCCCAUCAUGGUUUUCUCUGGAGGGUAAGGUGGGGAGAGGGUCCAUAGAGACCUCUUGUUUGCAAAUAAAACAUUUUGUGUACCAGAGGUAGAUGUUCUCUCUUACAUUAUUUUCCUUCUCCCUCUGGUUAAACUUGGCAGUUAUGUCUUCUGCAGGGGAAUUGAAUAAAACUUUCAGUCUCUUUAGGAAGUUAAAGCUGUGCGCUGCUUUCUUCAUGGUGUUCUGAUUCAGCACUGUAUCUGAUGUCUGGGGAUUCCUUCGUGGAGUGUUGAGAUCUGUACUCACUGGAGGGCAGAGAUGAGAUCAUACAGAGCCUAGAUGUGGGCCUUGCCUGUUCUCUCCAAGCUGCCAAUGCCAGGAUUAGUAGCACUGAAAGCCAAGAUGAGACAAAACCUCAGGGUAGUGUAUGUUCCAGUCAGAAGGUGCCAUGUGGUUUUGAAGGAUCCAUUAGGGGAGCUGCCACGGAAUCGAUUCAGCCACCUGCCAAACAUCUGGUACAACUGGGUCAUCUGGGAUGGGCGAGAAACAUUGUCAUUUACAUCCAAGGGUUUGAUGGCCAUGAGGACUGUGCUGAGAGCCAGGACAAGCUCUUCCAUGGGGUUUCCCCGACUGUGGAGAGGAAGGUCUCACAUGCAUGUGGACACUGAGGAAGUCAGAUGUUUCCUUCAGGGCCACUGGCUGUCAACGUGGUGCUGCUUUCCAUGAGAUUGACCUCAAGACCCACCAGCGCUGCAUUCCGAGGCCAGUACUGUGCCUUUGCUGAGGCCAAGAGAGAAUCCCCCAUGAGCUUUGGUAUGAGCAGCUUCUCUCUGUUCUGGCUCCAGAGUUUCCAUUAGGAACCAUCUCAGAUCCAAGUGUCACCCAUGUGGGAAACAGAAGGGCAGAGGCUGGGGGGCCCUCUCAAAUGGGGAAUGAGGAAGCCUCAGAGGAUAGAGGGGAGGCCCACAGCAUCUGAUCCCUCUCUUCCUUCUACCCACUGGAAAAGAAGAUCCUUUGUUAAUGGAUGAAACCUUCAUAGCCCCAAGGCUGCAGUUAAGCAAGACAUGGGAUGGAGUAUAAGGUCUAACAAAAACUCUGCUCACUACUGCUUUCCCCAGACCGAAGGCUAAACCCAUGCAGGAUGGCUUGGUGAAUCAUCUGCUGCCAGCCCCUUCAGAAUGGCCCUCCAUUCUGCUCUCUGCUCUUUACACAUAAUCAGGAGAGAGUGCUGGGGUCCAGAGUUGCCCUUGAAGAGAGGGAUGGAAAAGUGGCUCAGACGUGGGAGGGGGUGACCAAAAGAGAAAGCCUGGACUCCUCACCUGCCCUCUGGGAGAUCAGAUCUCUCCAAGAGGAGCCCCUGGAUUGGGAAAGUGCUCAGGAAGGCAGUAUUGAGCACCAAACCGCCCAGAACCCUCCACCUGCUGGCAGCAGCUAGGCCAAACUCUUGGGUUUGAAGAGUGAGAGUGCUGAGCACCAGGCUGCUCUCUGGCUUUCGAACCUCCCCACUGGGUCACAGAUAAUCCCUCAGCAGGCACUGUUGGAGGCCAUACCCUUGUCCCAGCACCAGAGAUCCAGGAAGAUCAGGACAUGGGGCAUAAAUACACGGUGCUUCAUCUCCCUGCUGGGGAGGGGACUGAAGAUCACGACCAUUAAUGGCCUUCUCAUCUCAACCUCAGAAAUAAACCUUUCCUCAUGGGAGAGAGUGAAUGCCAGUUGAGAACUCACUAAUAUAAAGACACAGCUGCUCACAAAUGUUCCACUGUGAAUCCCUCAGGAGUCCUGAAAUUGGUGAUAGGAUCUCCAUUUUACAGAUGCAACAACAUUUUCCUCACUUCCUGGAAAUGGCUCCGUUCUAGCAUUUCAACAUGAUCCAGGAGUGACAGUGAUGGUUAAGUCAGAGCAUCUCAAAGAGUCUGAGUGUUGAAUCUUCCAAAGUGUUCAAAUCUGUGGUAAGGGAAAUGAAGCACAAGUCUCUUCAGAAGAAUCCACUCCUAACAGAGAUAAGCAACAGUGGUCUACAUGAUGCCACGGUCCACUGGGUCUUUUUUGGCAACACUCCAAAGUAUUCUCAAUCCGAAGGCAGCCUCCACAAUCAGUUGAUCUUCGGAAAAAAACAAACAAACAAACAAACAAACAAAAAACAACUGUUAUUCACUCCAAAAUGAUGAAGGCAAGCUAACGAAUGGAAAAAAAAGACACUGUGAAUGUCACAUAUGCUUCCUGGCUACACUCAAGGUCUCAAGGAAUAGAUGUGCCUGAUCCCCUGUCUUACCAGAUAAGGGCCAUCACUGAGGAUGCUCUAGGAACCCACAAGGUGGCAAAGAGGUGCCCCUUCCUUGAAGAUGUGAAUGGGUGUGAGACAGGCCUAAAGCUCUGGUGAUCCUCGCUGCCAAGAGGACUGAAGUUCAUGCCCCCAUGCAGCUUGGCAUGCUGUGUGUGCAUGCUCCCCGCCCAGGUAUCGGUUGCCCAGGCACCCUGCCACUGGCUGUAUUUACCUGCUGGGAUCUCCUGGAAGUCCUGUACCCUGAGCAGGUCAGGGUGGAGCUCUUAUUCUGAAGACUUUGGCCACAAAUACCAAAGAAAGCCUUUUCCAAAGGAAAAAUGUUCUAGACAAAGUCCAGGAACUGUUCUAGAACUUGGAACAUGUUGUAAGAUCAUUUACUAUGAGAAUGUUCAUUGUGCUGAUUUUUCUUCUGCAACUUUGCCUUUGAAAUACUUCCAUAGGAUGCUAUUCCUGACUCUGAUCAAAGUAGACGUGAGUAGGAAUUAACUUGAGCAUCCAGUUGUUUCCCCAAGGCUCCUUUGUGACCCUUGCUUUUGUCUUGCUUUUUUUCUUCUUAUCAAAGAUUAUACUGGGCAGGGACUUGCACUGGAAAAUCGAUGUGAGCUCCUCGUGAGCGGGUCCAGCAUAGAGCAGUUGGUAAUGAAUUAACGGAUGCCCUUAGCCUUUUUAAGGACUUACUGCUGGUGAUGGUAAUUCAUUUGGUACAGUUACCUCUGAAAUAAUGUAACCUGCCUGUGCUGCCACAGGCAGAUCAAUAGACAUGAUUUUUAUUUCCCAUCUUGCUAACUUGCUGUGUGACCUUGGUGCUCAGGUCUUGCAUAUCCCUGUGAAACAAAGGAUUAGACUAGAUGUCGAAGGCUUUGUUUAGAUCUUUGAAUGUUAGAUGCUGAAAUCCCAGCAAAGAUGCCAUUUAGCACAAUCUUUUUCCACUGGACUCUAAGGGCAGGUGGGUAAUCUUGCAAUGCUAUUUGCAAGUUUUUUUUUCUUGAGGUGGGGGUUUCUUAGUUUGUAUAUAUCAAGAGAAGAUUGAGUUUGGCAUAAAAUAGAAGCUCAGUAUAUAGUAAUUGAAUUUCUUAUGGCUACAAAUCUACAUGUAACUAUUUAAAAUAUUUCAUGUUUUUUUGUUUUUUCUUCCCCUGCCCUCCCAGGUGUCCAGAUAAGUCAGUGACAAGAGUUAAGUUGGAACAGGGUCUGUGAGUCAGUCAUCUGGAGGUUGCAGUCAUCUAGCUUCUGUGGAUUUUGCUCUAAAGAUAGUUUCUAUUUCUUUGCAUCCAUAUAAGCUAUCUGAUGGUAGAAUACAUUCUGAAAUACAAGUGGCCUUGUGCUUCUCUGGGUACAUGGUCUCAAAUGUAACAAUCUUUUUAAAAAUAAACAAUUUUUGAUACGCAUAAAAUGAAAAAUAUUUAAUCAUCAGCUCUCAGGCAAUUUAGAUUCAGCAUCACAAAGGAAUGUUAGGCGUUUUCCAAAGUUAACUCUGUGUGCAUGCACAGGGUUCUUGAGGGAGCUAUAUAGCAAAAAUAGGUGGCGAGCCCUUAUACUACCAGGUUCAUUUGUUCCAAGUCUGGCUUUGGCUUUUAAUCAAAUGUUAACAUUUGUUUAUUCUCUCAAAAAAUAUUUAUCUAUGAUGUGCCUGACAACAUGCUAGGGAUGGGUAUAAGAGCAUAAAUCUCUGAAGGUACUUUCAAGAGCCCAUUAGGAAAGGGAAUGGGCUCUCACCCUGUUACUUAGUUCUCGGCCUGUCACUUAGUUCCCUUUAAAAAAAAUUCCUCUGUGUUUCAGGAGUUGGAUUAUCCCUUAACUACGUGGGCCCGCUGGUUGGAGUUGCUGUGCUUACUGCAAUGUUGCAUAUGUUAGUUAUUGGUCUUGUGUGACUCGUGACUAGAACAUAUAUGAAGAAGGCAAAUUCUCUGGGUCAGAAUACGACAUUACAGGAGUGCCCACCUAUAGCACCUACUUUUGACCUGAGGAAUUUCUUUUCUUUUCUUUCUUUCUUUUUUUUUUCCCGAGACACAG